This 423-nucleotide ribosomal RNA is filed under the name uncultured bacterium. RNAcentral describes it as "bacterial SSU rRNA". It matches the Rfam family "Bacterial small subunit ribosomal RNA", at positions 355 to 775 of the family's 1533-position model. The record is from RNAcentral.
UAAGGAAUAUUGGUCAAUGGACGAAAGUCUGAACCAGCCAUGCCGCGUGGAGGAUGAAGGUCCUCUGGAUUGUAAACUUCUUUUAUAGGGGACGAAAAAAGGGUUUUUUAACUCGUCUGACGGUACCUUAUGAAUAAGCACCGGCUAACUCCGUGCCAGCAGCCGCGGUAAUACGGAGGGUGCAAGCGUUAUCCGGAUUCACUGGGUUUAAAGGGUGCGUAGGCGGGCAGGUAAGUCAGAGGUGAAAUCUCCGGGCUCAACCCGGAAACUGCCUUUGAUACUAUCGGUCUUGAAUAUGGUGGAGGUAAGCGGAAUAUGUCAUGUAGCGGUGAAAUGCUUAGAGAUGACAUAGAACACCCAUUGCGAAGGCAGCUUACUACACCUAUAUUGACGCUGAGGCACGAAAGCGUGGGGAUCAAACAG